GAUGAACGCUGGCGGCGUGCCUAAUACAUGCAAGUCGAGCGAACGGACGAGAAGCUUGCUUCUCUGAUGUUAGCGGCUGACGGGUGAGUAACACGUGGAUAACCUACCUCUAAGACUGGGAUAACUUCGGGAAACCGGAGCUAAUACCGGAUCAUAUUUUGAACCGCAUGGUUCAAAAGUGAAAGACGGUUUUGCUGUCACUUAUAGAUGGAUCCGCGCUGCAUUAGCUAGUUGGUAAGGUAACGGCUUACCAAGGCAACGAUGCAUAGCCGACCUGAGAGGGUGAUCGGCCACACUGGAACUGAGACACGGUCCAGACUCCUACGGGAGGCAGCAGUAGGGAAUCUUCCGCAAUGGGCGAAAGCCUGACGCAGCAACGCCGCGUGAGUGAUGAAGGUCUUCGGAUCGUAAAACUCUGUUAUUAGGGAAGAACAUCUGUGUAAGUAAAUGUGCACAUCUUGACGGUACCUAAUCAGAAAGCAACGGCUAACUACGUG
RNAcentral lists this ribosomal RNA (497 nucleotides) under uncultured bacterium. Its description in RNAcentral is "partial 16S ribosomal RNA". It matches the Rfam family "Bacterial small subunit ribosomal RNA", at positions 28 to 507 of the family's 1533-position model. The record is from RNAcentral.